This 465-nucleotide ribosomal RNA is filed under the name uncultured bacterium. RNAcentral describes it as "partial 16S ribosomal RNA". It matches the Rfam family "Bacterial small subunit ribosomal RNA", at positions 28 to 507 of the family's 1533-position model. The record is from RNAcentral.
GACGGACGCUGGCGGCGUGCUUAACACAUGCAAGUCGUACGGUAAGGCCCUUUCGGGGGUACACGAGUGGCGAACGGGUGAGUAACACGUGAGUAACCUGCCCACAACUUUGGGAUAACGCUAGGAAACUGGUGCUAAUACUGGAUAUGUGCUCCUGCUGCAUGGUGGGGGUUGGAAAGCUCCGGCGGUUGUGGAUGGACUCGCGGCCUAUCAGCUUGUUGGUGGGGUAGUGGCCUACCAAGGCGGCGACGGGUAGCCGGCCUGAGAGGGUGACCGGCCACAUUGGGACUGAGAUACGGCCCAGACUCCUACGGGAGGCAGCAGUGGGGAAUAUUGCACAAUGGGCGCAAGCCUGAUGCAGCAACGCCGCGUGCGGGAUGACGGCCUUCGGGUUGUAAACCGCUUCCAGCAGGGACGAAGCUUUUUGUGACGGUACCUGCAGAAGAAGCACCGGCUAACUACGUG